Molecule: long non-coding RNA, 536 nt
Organism: Phyllopteryx taeniolatus (common seadragon)
Lineage: Eukaryota; Metazoa; Chordata; Actinopteri; Syngnathiformes; Syngnathidae
Exons: 4
Source: RefSeq, a predicted model, not a curated record
CGAGUCUUCAAAUUCAGUGGAACCUCCCUUUACGAAUUUAAACCGUUCCGUGACUCCAUUCGCAAACCAAGGACGAAAACGUGACGCAAAGAGCUAAACGUGGCUCUUUGAUAACUAAAACAUGUUGAUGAGACAUGCGCAAGUUUUCGUUCACACGACUGGAUGAAAGGGUUAGCGCGUCAGUGCUCUGUCAGAUGAUCAUUCAAAGGUGUGCUGGCGCCUACCUCAGCUGACUUUGGGCGAGAGGAUGCGGUGCAAGAAAAGACAACUGAGCCUUCUGCACGUCCACCAUUGGCACAAUUUAAUGUCGUGGCUGAUUUCCCAGAGCAAGCCCAACAUACUUUGUCUGGAAUGACAAAACUCCUUGCAGUAUGACAUAAUCCACAACCAACGAUUUGCCCUACAACGCCAAAGUGUUUGAUUUUUUUGGGAUAUCUUCCGUGUCGUGUGACAUGUCAACGAGAACCCUCCGACAUAUCACCUGACGUCAACCAAUAGGAUUGCAUCUUACAAUGGCGCAUUGGCCUCCUUGCUCG